Molecule: ribosomal RNA, 493 nt
Filed under: uncultured organism
Description: bacterial SSU rRNA
Rfam family: Bacterial small subunit ribosomal RNA
Source: RNAcentral
GACGAACGCUGGCGGUGUGCUUAACACAUGCAAGUGGUGCGACGAACCAGGCUUCGGCCUGGGGCAAAGCCGCGAACGGGUGAGUAACACGUGGGUAAUCUGCCCCGAUGACCGGGACAACCCGAGGAAACUCGGGCUAAUACCGGAUGUGGUGCCCAGACUUAAGUCUGGUCACUAAAGGUAGCUUCGGCUUCCGCAUUGGGAGGGGCCCGCGGCCCAUUAGCUUGUUGGUGGGGUCAAGGCCUACCAAGGCAACGAUGGGUAGCUGGUCUGAGAGGACGAUCAGCCACACUGGGACUGAGACACGGCCCAGACUCCUACGGGAGGCAGCAGUGGGGAAUCUUGCGCAAUGCGCGAAAGCGUGACGCAGCAACACCGCGUGAGGGAAGACGGCCUUAGGGUUGUAAACCUCUUUCAGAUGGGACGAAGGUCAUCCGGUGAAUAGCCGAGGUGAUUGACGGUACCGUCAGAAGAAGCUCCGGCUAACUACGUG